RNAcentral lists this small RNA (611 nucleotides) under Pongo abelii (Sumatran orangutan). RNAcentral's name for it is "processed transcript". Lineage: Eukaryota; Metazoa; Chordata; Mammalia; Primates; Hominidae. The record is from RNAcentral.
CGAAGGGACCGUCUCUGCCAAGCGCCUGUUGGUAGGAACCUGCUUGGUCGCGUCUGAGGGGGCUUGUAGGUGGCUCUGGCUGAAGCAGGCGCCUGGGAGAGUCUGUAGGAGGGAAACCGCCAUGGACGAUCAGGGUUGCCCUCGGUGUAAGACCACCAAAUAUCGGAACCCCUCCUUGAAGCUGAUGGUGAAUGUGUGCGGACACACGCUGUGGAUGAUUCAAGAGAGAGACAAACAGAAGCCGCGAUGUCUUCCAUGAACAUCAUUCAGCACCAUCGUUUCUGCUGCAUUCUGUUUGUUCAGAGUCCUAAAUACAGCUCACAUUCAGAGGAAGGGGAAUUGGGCUUCACCUUUUGAUGAAAGAAGUAUAAAGAAUUUGUGGCCGUAUGUAAAACCACACCAACCACAUAUGUAUGUUUAUCACUGGAAUACCUUGAAUCCAAGAGGGCUCCCAAUGAUUCUUGUCUCCUACUUUUUAUGUCCUUGCUUAGUUUCUCCCUGAUUGUAUCAGGGUUGCUUGUAUAACCAAUCGAAUAUGGUAGAAGUUUCUCAUUUCCAAGGCUAGGUCUUUAACAAAGACUUUGUGGCUUUCCAUGUGGUUGCUCUCUAUG